AGUGAACGCUGGCGGUAGGCCUAACACAUGCAAGUCGAACGGCAGCACAGUAAGAGCUUGCUCUUACGGGUGGCGAGUGGCGGAUGGGUGAGGAAUACAUCGGAAUCUACUUUUUCGUGGGGGAUAACGUAGGGAAACUUACGCUAAUACCGCAUACGACCUACGGCUGAAAGCAGUGGAUCUUCGGACCUUGUGCGAUUGAAUGAGCCGAUGUCGGAUUAGCUAGUUGGCGGGGUAAAGGCCCACCAAGGCGACGAUCCGUAGCUGGUCUGAGAGGAUGAUCAGCCACACUGGAACUGAGACACGGUCCAGACUCCUACGGGAGGCAGCAGUGGGGAAUAUUGGACAAUGGGCGCAAGCCUGAUCCAGCCAUACCGCGUGGGUGAAGAAGGCCUUCGGGUUGUAAAGCCCUUUUGUUGGGAAAGAAAAGCAGCAGGUUAAUACCCCGCUGUUCUGACGGUACCCAAAGAAUAAGCACCGGCUAACUUCGUG
Molecule: ribosomal RNA, 492 nt
Filed under: uncultured bacterium
Lineage: Bacteria
Description: partial 16S ribosomal RNA
Rfam family: Bacterial small subunit ribosomal RNA
Source: RNAcentral